UAGGAAGAAAUCGUUAAGGGCGUAUGGCGGAUGCCUAGGCUUUCAGAGGCGAAGAAGGACGUGGUAAGCUGCGAAAAGCUGCGGGGAUUGGCACACACGAAUUGAUCCGCAGAUGUCGAAUGGGGCAACCCAAUACAUUGAAGAUGUAUUACCUCUUAGGAGGAGCAAACCCGGAGAACUGAAACAUCUAAGUACCGGAGGAAAAGAAAUCGAAGAGAUUCCGUAAGUAGUGGCGAGCGAAAGCGGAUUAGCCCAAAAGCUAAUAUAUGUUUAAUAGAAUGUUCUGGAAAGAACAGCCAUAGAGGGUGAUAGCCCGUAUAUGAAAGGCAUAUUUGAGUGAUAAAUGAGUAGGGCGGGACACGUGAAAUCCUGUCUGAAUAUGGGGGACCAUCCUCCAAGGCUAAAUACUCCUGAAAACCGAUAGUGAACAAGUACUGUGAAGGAAAGGUGAAAAGCACUUCGAAUAGAAGGGUGAAAUAGAACCUGAAACCGUACGCCUACAAGCGGUCGGAGCAGCAUUAAGCUGUGACGGCGUGCCUUUUGCAUAAUGAGCCUACGAGUUAAUUUUACUAGCGAGGUUAAGGUAUUAAGUACCGGAGCCGGAGCGAAAGCGAGUCUGAAUAGGGCGCAUAGUUAGUAGGAUUAGACGCGAAACCUUGUGAUCUCCCAUGGGCAGGUUGAAGCUCUGGUAACACAGAGUGGAGGACCGAACCGGUUGACGUUGAAAAGUCUUCGGAUGACCUGUGGGUAGGGGUGAAAGGCCAAUCAAA
This 770-nucleotide ribosomal RNA is filed under the name Chryseobacterium sp. 7. RNAcentral describes it as "bacterial LSU rRNA". It matches the Rfam family "Bacterial large subunit ribosomal RNA", at positions 1 to 837 of the family's 2925-position model. Lineage: Bacteria; Pseudomonadati; Bacteroidota; Flavobacteriia; Flavobacteriales; Weeksellaceae. The record is from RNAcentral.